GAAAUAAAGAAUUCUCUCGAAGUGUUACUUCUCCAAUAAUCACUCGAAGAAUUCCUUGUUUUAG
Molecule: microRNA precursor, 64 nt
Organism: Neolamprologus brichardi
Lineage: Eukaryota; Metazoa; Chordata; Actinopteri; Cichliformes; Cichlidae
Source: Ensembl